CCUGGAGGCUGCAGGAGGGAAGGGUGAGCAAGGGGAGAAAGCAGGAGGCAGCAACGCCGCGGGAUGGAUGAAGCCAGUCGGGGUGUAAAGAGCGGUCAGUGGGGAGGAAACGGGACGGUACCCACAGAGGAAGCACCGGCUAACUCAGUGCCAGCAGCCGCGGGAAUACGGAGGGUGCAAGCUUUGUCCGGAAUCAUUGGGCGGAAAGAGUUCGUAGGUGGCAUGUUAAGUCUGGUGUUAAAUGCAGCAGCUCAACUUCUGUGCGGCACUGGAUACUGGUAAGCUUGAAUGCGGUAGAGGUAACGGGAAUUCCUGGUGUAGCGGUGAAAUGCGUAGAUAUCAGGAGGAACAUCGGUGGCGUAGGCGCUUUACUGGGCCGUAAUUGACACUGAGGAACGAAAGCCGGGGUAGCAAAUUGGAUUAGCUACCCGAGUAGUC
This 438-nucleotide ribosomal RNA is filed under the name uncultured bacterium. RNAcentral describes it as "partial 16S ribosomal RNA". It matches the Rfam family "Bacterial small subunit ribosomal RNA", at positions 341 to 795 of the family's 1533-position model. The record is from RNAcentral.